Molecule: unclassified non-coding RNA, 337 nt
Filed under: soil metagenome
Description: partial contains 5.8S ribosomal RNA, internal transcribed spacer 2, and large subunit ribosomal RNA
Rfam family: 5.8S ribosomal RNA (bases 1-120)
Source: RNAcentral
GAUGAAGAACGUAGCGAAAUGCGAUACGUAGUGUGAAUUGCAGAAUUCAGUGAAUCAUCGAAUCUUUGAACGCACAUUGCACCUCUCGGUAUUCCGGGAGGUAUGCCUGUUCGAGCGUCAUUUGUACCCUCAAGCUCUGCUUGGUGUUGGGUGUUUGUCUCGCCUCUGCGUGUAGACUCGCCUCAAAACAAUUGGCAGCCGGCGUAUUGAUUUCGGAGCGCAGUACAUCUCGCGCUUUGCACUCAUAACGACGACGUCCAAAAGUACAUUUUUACACUCUUGACCUCGGAUCAGGUAGGGAUACCCGCUGAACUUAAGCAUAUCAAUAAGCGGAGGA